UACGGGGGGGGCAAGCGUUGCUCGGAAUUACUGGGCGUAAAGGGCUCGUAGGCGGCCAACUAAGUCAUACGUGAAAUCCCUCGGCUUAACCGGGGAACUGCGUCUGAUACUGGAUGGCUUGAGUUCGGGAGAGGGAUGCGGAAUUCCAGGUGUAGCGGUGAAAUGCGUAGAUAUCUGGAGGAACACCGGUGGCGAAGGCGGCAUCCUGGACCGAUACUGACGCUGAGGUGCGAAAGCGUGGGGAGCAAACAGG
This 253-nucleotide ribosomal RNA is filed under the name uncultured bacterium. Its description in RNAcentral is "partial 16S ribosomal RNA". It matches the Rfam family "Bacterial small subunit ribosomal RNA", at positions 524 to 776 of the family's 1533-position model. The record is from RNAcentral.